This 221-nucleotide unclassified non-coding RNA is filed under the name soil metagenome. RNAcentral describes it as "partial contains 5.8S ribosomal RNA, internal transcribed spacer 2, and large subunit ribosomal RNA". The record is from RNAcentral.
AACACUGUUAACCUGCGGUACCUGCGGAAGGAUCAUUACCGAGUUUACAAACUCCCAACCCUUUGUGAACCUUACCAUAUUGUUGCUUCGGCGGGACCGCCCCGGCGCCUUCGGGCCCGGAACCAGGCGCCCGCCGGAGGCCCCAAACUCUUAUGUCUUUAGUGGUUUUCUCCUCUGAGUGACACAUAAACAAAUAAAUAAAAACUUUCAACAAUGGAUCU